This 74-nucleotide microRNA precursor is filed under the name Petromyzon marinus (sea lamprey). RNAcentral describes it as "microRNA pma-mir-4576 precursor". The record is from miRBase by way of RNAcentral. Lineage: Eukaryota; Metazoa; Chordata; Hyperoartia; Petromyzontiformes; Petromyzontidae.
ACCUUGUCUUUGUUUAGCGAUGUAUCUGGCUUGUCUCAGAAGACGCUAGGUCCAUUGUUGGACUUGGACAGUGC